CCCGCGACAAGCGGUGGAGCAUGUGGUUUAAUUCGACGCAACGCGCAGAACCUUACCUGGGCUUGACAUCCCGAUCGCAUCCCAUGGAAACAUGGGAGUCAGUUCGGCUGGAUCGGUGACAGGUGGUGCAUGGUUGUCGUCAGCUCGUGUCGUGAGAUGUUGGGUUAAGUCCCGCAACGAGCGCAACCCUCGACCUUAGUUGCCAGCAUUCAGUUGGGCACUCUAAGGUGACUGCCGGCUAAAAGUCGGAGGAAGGUGGGGAUGACGUCAAAUCAUCAUGCCCCUUAUGACCUGGGCUACACACGUGCUACAAUGGGCGGUACAAAGGGUCGCGAACCCGCGAGGGGGAGCCAAUCCCAAAAAGCCGCUCUCAGUUCGGAUUGCAGGCUGCAACUCGCCUGCAUGAAGCCGGAAUCGCUAGUAAUCGCGGAUCAGCAUGCCGCGGUCGAAUACGUUCCCGGGCCUU
RNAcentral lists this ribosomal RNA (466 nucleotides) under uncultured Anoxybacillus sp. RNAcentral describes it as "bacterial SSU rRNA". It matches the Rfam family "Bacterial small subunit ribosomal RNA", at positions 920 to 1382 of the family's 1533-position model. The record is from RNAcentral. Lineage: Bacteria; Bacillati; Bacillota; Bacilli; Caryophanales; Anoxybacillaceae.